GCAAACUUGGUCAUUUAGAGGAAGUAAAAGUCGUAACAAGGUUUCCGUAGGUGAACCUGCGGAAGGAUCAUUAUCGUAUUCUCCGGCGGGGUGACCGAGCCCCGCUCCGGCCCCAAACGGCCGUGCAGCGGGUUCGACUCCCUGUCCAAACCUUUGCAAACCCCUCUGUGCACCUUUAGCGGUGGAGGGCGUCGGGGCGAGAGCCCCGUGCCCGAGGCCGUAAAAACAAACCCCAAACUCUUUAAAGAAAGUCAUGCGGCCUCAGCGUCGCCUAAAACACAUAACAACUUUCAACAACGGAUCUCUUGGCUCUCGCAUCGAUGAAGAACGCAGC
Molecule: unclassified non-coding RNA, 334 nt
Filed under: uncultured fungus
Lineage: Eukaryota; Fungi
Description: partial contains small subunit ribosomal RNA, internal transcribed spacer 1, and 5.8S ribosomal RNA
Rfam family: Eukaryotic small subunit ribosomal RNA (bases 1-73)
Source: RNAcentral